Carassius auratus (goldfish) is the source of this 1698-nucleotide long non-coding RNA. Lineage: Eukaryota; Metazoa; Chordata; Actinopteri; Cypriniformes; Cyprinidae. The record is from Ensembl.
AUGAAGAGUAACAACUCCAUGAUUCAGCCCCCUCUUCUCAGUGAUGUUGAUCCUCAGAGAGCAUCAUCUCCAGGAUUCAGCUGUGUCUCUAUGAAGAGUAACAACUCCAUGAUUCAGCCCCCUCUUCUCAGUGAUGUUGACCCUCAGAGAGCAUCAUCUCCAGGAUUCAGCUGUGUGUCUAUGAAGAGUAACAACUCCAUGAUUCAGCCCCCUCUUCUCAGUGAUGUUGACCCUCAGAGAGCAUCAUCUUCAGGAUUCAGCUGUGUCUCUAUGAAGAGUAACAACUCCAUGAUUCAGCCCCCUCUUCUCAGUGAUGUUGACCCUCAGAGAGCAUCAUCUUCAGGAUUCAGCUGUGUGUCUAUGAAGAGUAACAACUCCAUGAUUCAGCCCCCUCUUCUCAGUGAUGGAGCUGCUGUGACUUCUGACUCUCUGUAAGUAUCAUGUAGUUCUGGGCACAGACUCUGUUGGUGCCCUAGAUUAAAUAUUAUAUUGGUGCAAUACCCCUACAAUCUAAAAAAACUGACAGGGAGUGUGUUUGUGUGUGUGUGUGUGUGUGUGUGUGUUUUACUACUGAAUUUAUACCGGAAACAAACAAUGCUUUUUAAUCAAUCAAUAUGACAAUCAAUCAUACAGCAAUAAUCAAUAAUUUAAUAGUAUUAUAUAGCACACACUAUUAAGUAAUUGAUCCAAGAUAAUAAAUGAUAAAUAAUACAUUUGCCCAACAACAAACAAUCUGCUCCAAAAUGGACACAAAUUGGGACGUCGAAACACACACACAGACAGACACAUGUUGGCACUUCUGCCUACCCUUCAUAGAAAGCGUUUUUAUCUGUGUUUACAUUUCUACAAAACAUUGAUUUAGAUUUUUUUAUACUCGUAAUGUAGUUAUGUGUAAUGUGUAUUUCAAAGAAAGUUUGAAGGUGUAUAACUGGCGACUGUUCCUUCGGCACGGUCACAUGUCUAUUAUAUUCCUAAACAACUCCUGCUCAUUCGCCAUUAGAUAAAACAUAGGCAAUAUAUUUUUCCUUCAAGGUUGAGCUGCAGCAUGUCACUGGAACAGAACAAUUCAUUCACAUGGAGCAAAGCAUACAUGAUUCAAUGUCAGAGUUUAACAUAUAGCAAUAAAUGGUGCUGUUAAAAUAAAAAAGAAUAAUAACCAUUAAGCAUAUGUAAGAGUUAGUGGAUAAAGGGGUUGUCUUCAUGUCUCAUACAGCUAUCACGAGAACCACAUAAAAAAAUAAGAACAAAGUUCAAACUGAUAAUCUAUAAAAGGCAGUAUUUUAUUUUAUAAUGAUUCAGAUGAGCUAAAUAUUUAUUCUCAGGAAGCCAGGCUAAAUGAGUAAACACUGUUCCUGCAUUCCGGUCAGACUCAAAGACACCAAAUACAGACAUUGCUUAUAACAACAAAUACAAGAAUAGACACACUAGUUUUAAGAAAACUAUGAUUACAUAUUAAUUUUAUAAUAGAAGAGCAGGGGAUUGGAAAUCAGCCCCUUCACGUCAAAACAGGCAAGUCUUUUUAACUCAACUGCAGUGAAUCAGGUUUUGUCAGUAUCUUCGGGUUUAGGAAUUUGUGGUGCAUGAGCUCAUAGACUAAUUACUAAUAUAUAUAUAUAUAUAUAUAUAUAUAUAUAUAUAUAUAUAUAUAUAUAUGAAGAGUUCAGAUGCAAAAACCAGACUAUUUCAAGACUAUUGAGG